AUGUACAUAUUUUUAAAGCUUAUUAAUCGAACAACCUAAAAUCACGUUGGUUUCUCUCCCUCAAAUCUCAGAUCCAUUUUCAAAAUUCAAACCUAAAAGCACGUCCUCUUUCUUCCCCUAAAAUCUAUCCAUUUUCAAAAUUCAAACCCUACUCUCCCAAAUCUCUCUCCCUCUCAGAUCUUCGCCAAAACCCAGGGUCUUCAACAUCAAAAGGCCUUUUUCUUCUACGUUAAUCUCAAAAAGAGAUAUAUGCAAGAACAUGAUGAAGUGGAUCUUUCAACCCUUGGAAUGGCUUUCAUAUUUUGAGCGGGAUGAAAACAGUGGACUAAAUUUGGCUCCGCGUGUGCAAUAAACUGGUUUAUUUCUUAUGAUUUAUAUAUGGAAUACUAAAACUGUCUACUUUACUACUGGUCUAGGGUUGAUUUUUCUUCUGCUUCAAUAUAUGGAGCUUUAAAACGUGUCAACAUGUUUCCAUCGUUGCUUGUAUAGCCUAACCCACAAAGAUAAGGAACGUAGUGGUUCGGUUGUGUAACGCCUCGUACUUCCGUGUUUCCAUGUCUUUAGAAAUGCGAGUUGACAGUCAAGAUGUUGAAGAAUCAAGUUAGGAUGGUCUAGAUACCCAUUUUAAUAAUAAACCAUGUUUGUUGCAAUUUGUCU
RNAcentral lists this long non-coding RNA (657 nucleotides) under Helianthus annuus (common sunflower). The record is from RNAcentral. Lineage: Eukaryota; Viridiplantae; Streptophyta; Magnoliopsida; Asterales; Asteraceae.